This 443-nucleotide ribosomal RNA is filed under the name uncultured bacterium. RNAcentral's name for it is "partial 16S ribosomal RNA". It matches the Rfam family "Bacterial small subunit ribosomal RNA", at positions 338 to 795 of the family's 1533-position model. The record is from RNAcentral.
CCUACGGGAGGCAGCAGUGGGGAAUAUUGGGCAAUGGAGGCAACUCUGAACCAGCAACGCCGCGUGAACGAUGAAGGUCUUCGGAGUGUAAAGUUCUGUGAUGGGGGAUGAACACAAUGACGGUACCCCAAUAGCAAGCCACGGCUAACUACGUGCCAGCAGUAGCGGUAAUCCGUAGGGGGCAAGCUUUCUGCGGAAUGGAUGGGCGUAAAGGUUGCGUAGGUGGUUUAGUAAGUUGGCGGUGUAAUUCCGGGGCUCAACCUCGGCGCUACCGCCAAAACUAGUAGACUAGAGUGCAGGAGGGGUAAGUGGAAUGCGGGGUGUAGCGGUGGAAUGCGUAGAUAUUAGGAAGAACAUCAAGGGCGAAGGCGACUUACUGGACUGUCACUGACACUGAGGCACGAAAGCGUGGGGAGCAAACAGGAUUAGAUACCCCGGUAGUC